Molecule: long non-coding RNA, 614 nt
Organism: Mustela lutreola (European mink)
Lineage: Eukaryota; Metazoa; Chordata; Mammalia; Carnivora; Mustelidae
Exons: 3
Source: RefSeq, a predicted model, not a curated record
CCACCUGCCACCAACAACCGUUGUCGGGUCACCUCGCCCACUCCAAGUGCUCCUGUGCUGCACCCCAAGGUGGGAGUAUUCGUUCCCGCUGAGCCCCACUCAUGAAGUUACCCGUCCAACUCCUCCUAGGACAGUGGGCAGACUGAGGGCAAGGAGCGGCAGGGAAUGGCCCGGACCAGUCAGAAGGCCACAGAUGAUGAAAGCAGGCAGGCAGAGUUGCACUCCUCCUUGACACAGGAGUCCCCAGUCCCGGGAAAGCCUUCUACACCUCCCAGGCCACCAGUGGAAGCAGAGCCCGAGGCUGCUCUAUCCUAGGAGCUUGGGCUGGGCCCAACAUCAGCAGGAGCUGGGAAGUGAGGGAAGAUGCCUGCCGAGACUUCAGCGGGAGACCAGCAGUCAGCAGGUGGCCAGGAACCUGCCAUGGAGAGCCACUGACCUCUGCUCUGUGGGGAGAGAUCCCUGUACAAUUGCCCUCAGUUCCAUCCUCUGACCCCGCCUCCCUGUCAGAAUGUUUCAUCCCCUCCCCCUGUGUUCUUUCUCUCUGGUACAUAGUCACUGUGAUAGUAGCUUUCCAAGUCCUGUAUGCUCUUUACUAUCUAUUUUAAAUAAAAUUC